This 253-nucleotide ribosomal RNA is filed under the name uncultured bacterium. RNAcentral's name for it is "partial 16S ribosomal RNA". It matches the Rfam family "Bacterial small subunit ribosomal RNA", at positions 524 to 776 of the family's 1533-position model. The record is from RNAcentral.
AACGUAGGUGGCGAGCGUUAUCCGGAUUUACUGGGCGUAAAGGGUGUGCAGGCUGCCCCUCAAGUGGUGUAUGAAAGGGCUCGGCUCAACCGGGCUAGGUUAUGCCAGACUGAGGGGCUAGAGAGCGAGAGCGGGACGUGGAAUUCCGGGUGUAGUGGUGAAAUGCGUAGAGAUCCGGAGGAACCCCAGAGGCGAAGGCGGCGUCCUGGCUCGCAUCUGACGCUCAGACACGACAGCAUGGGGAGCAAACGGG